RNAcentral lists this ribosomal RNA (253 nucleotides) under uncultured bacterium. RNAcentral's name for it is "partial 16S ribosomal RNA". It matches the Rfam family "Bacterial small subunit ribosomal RNA", at positions 524 to 776 of the family's 1533-position model. The record is from RNAcentral.
UACGUAGGGGGCAAGCGUUGUCCGGAAUUAUUGGGCGUAAAGAGCGCGUAGGCGGUCCGGUAAGUCGGCUGUGAAAGUCAAGGGCUCAACCCUUGAAAGCCGGCCGAUACUGUCGGACUAGAGUCCGGAAGAGGCGAGUGGAAUUCCCGGUGUAGCGGUGAAAUGCGCAGAUAUCGGGAGGAACACCAAUGGCGAAGGCAGCUCGCUGGGACGGCACUGACGCUGAGACGCGAAAGCGUGGGGAGCGAACAGG